GCCUGCCCAGUGAUUAUUUAUUCAACGGCCGCGGUAUCCUAACCGUGCAAAGGUAGCGCAAUCACUUGUUCUUUAAAUAAGGACUAGUAUGAAUGGCGACAUGAGGAUCAACUUGUCUCUCAUGAUAAGUCUAUGAAACUGAUCUUCCAGUACAAAAGCUGGAAUAAAGCCACAAGACGAGAAGACCCUGUGGAGCUUCAAACAACAACUCACCCACAAUGACGUUGUAGUUUUCAGUUGGGGCGACUUUGGAGACAAACAAAACCUCCAAACCACAAACUUAGGCUGACAGGCCUAACAACACAAUCCCACAUGACCCAAUAUAAUUGAUCAAUGAACCAAGUUACCCCAGGGAUAACAGCGCAAUCUUCUUCUAGAGUCCCUAUCGACAAGAAGGUUUACGACCUCGAUGUUGGAUCCGGAUACCCAAAUAGUGCAGCCGCCAUUAAAGGUUCGUUUGUUCAACGAUUAAUAUCCCACGUGAUCUGAGUUCAGACCGG
RNAcentral lists this ribosomal RNA (500 nucleotides) under Amphisbaena angustifrons. RNAcentral describes it as "partial 16S ribosomal RNA". It matches the Rfam family "Bacterial large subunit ribosomal RNA", at positions 1857 to 2619 of the family's 2925-position model. Lineage: Eukaryota; Metazoa; Chordata; Lepidosauria; Squamata; Amphisbaenidae. The record is from RNAcentral.